AACGAACGCUGGCGGCAUGCCUAACACAUGCAAGUCGAACGAUCCCUUCGGGGAUAGUGGCGCACGGGUGCGUAACGCGUGGGAACCUGCCCUUAGGUUCGGAAUAACUCAGAGAAAUUUGAGCUAAUACCGGAUAAUGUCUUCGGACCAAAGAUUUAUCGCCUUUGGAUGGGCCCGCGUUGGAUUAGCUAGUUGGUGGGGUAAAGGCCUACCAAGGCGACGAUCCAUAGCUGGUCUGAGAGGAUGAUCAGCCACACUGGGACUGAGACGCGGCCCAGACUCCUACGGGAGGCAGCAGUGGGGAAUAUUGGACAAUGGGCGAAAGCCUGAUCCAGCAAUGCCGCGUGAGUGAUGAAGGCCUUAGGGUUGUAAAGCUCUUUUACCCGGGAUGAUAAUGACAGUACCGGGAGAAUAAGCCCCGGCUAACUCCGUG
This 433-nucleotide ribosomal RNA is filed under the name uncultured bacterium. RNAcentral describes it as "partial 16S ribosomal RNA". It matches the Rfam family "Bacterial small subunit ribosomal RNA", at positions 29 to 507 of the family's 1533-position model. The record is from RNAcentral.